GUCUCUUAGAAAUCAUUAAGAGUCAGGCCUGCCCAGUGAUUGCUUUUUAACGGCCGCGGUACCCUGACCGUGCAAAGGUAGCAUAAUCAUUUGCCUUUUAAUUGAAGGCUGGUAUGAACGGUUUGACGAGAGUAAAGCUGUCUCACAUGUACUUGAUAAAAAUUAAUUUAAAGGUGCAAAAGCCUUUAUUCAUCAAAAAGACGAGAAGACCCUGUUGAGCUUUAAUUUUAGUUAAGUAUUAAUUAUAUAUUAAUACAAUUUCUUUACUUAACAAAAAUUUUAAUUGGGGCGAUUAAGGAACACACAAAAGCUUCCUGACUACUAAAUUCUAAUAUUCAAUAGAUUAAAUCGAUCCAGCAAUGCUGAUCAACAAAAUGAGUUACCACAGGGAUAACAGCAUAAUUCUUUUUGAGAGCUCAUAUCGAAAAAAGAGAUUGUGACCUCGAUGUUGGACUAGGGUAACCGGAAGGUGUAGCCGCUUUCCCGCUUGGUCUGUUCGACCA
Molecule: ribosomal RNA, 503 nt
Filed under: Neritina pulligera
Lineage: Eukaryota; Metazoa; Mollusca; Gastropoda; Cycloneritida; Neritidae
Description: partial 16S ribosomal RNA
Rfam family: Bacterial large subunit ribosomal RNA
Source: RNAcentral